Long non-coding RNA from Olea europaea var. sylvestris, 3104 nucleotides. RefSeq lists it as uncharacterized. NCBI's taxonomy places the organism in Eukaryota, Viridiplantae, Streptophyta, Magnoliopsida, Lamiales, Oleaceae. The transcript is spliced from 5 exons. The record is from RefSeq and is a predicted model, not a curated record.
AUUAAUUAGUUAAUAGCAAAUGCAGGAUUGUUUCUGCGGUGGAAAUUCUGAAGUCAAUGUUGCCACUCCAUAGCAUUAUUGCAUCUGCUUGAUUGAAGUCCAAUAUUGCUUUUCAUACUUCCUGCUGGAGCUUGCUUUCUCAAGACAAGAAUGUUGGGAUUGCAGUUAAUGAAGAUGAGUUUAGAGAAAAAGAAUGACCACCUAACCUAACAAAAUAUAAGAAAACAUUCGUCGAGAACUUGCAAAGUUGAGAAGAUUGAGAUUCUUAUGGCUAAGAAAUGACUCAUUUGAUGGAGAAAUUCUUGUCAAUCUGUCUUCUUCUUCUAAUCUCAUCGAGAUUUGCCUUUCAUGGAAUAAUCUUUAUGGGAAUAUUUUUCAAUAGAACUUGGAUCUUUGCCAAAGCUUCGGCUGAUUCAAGCUCCAAGAAAUAGUACUGUAGGUGAAAUCCCGAGUAUUUUUGGGUUUCAUCCCUGGAGAUUUUCAAGCUUUCCUCCAACAGGCUUAUUGGGAGGAUUACAAAUGAAUUUGGACAACUGAAUACAUUGGAUUAAGUGAAAACAUAUUGUCUGGUUCUCUCCCUCCCAUAAUUUCAAUCUCACUUCUAUUACAACUAUUUUUGUGCCAAUGAACCAAAUGCAAGAUACACUUCCAUCUUACACAGGCAACAGAGUUGGUGGAGGCGGUGUUGAUGGUUUCGACUCCAAUCAUUAGAGUCUUUGUUGUGUCCAAAUUGAAUGUUCCUGGUGCAUGACAGAUGCCUCAGGUUUCGUCAAGUUGGGUAGACCAAUGUUAUUUCGGGAUGAACUGAGUUUAAAUUUGAUCUCAAGGAAAAAACUAAAGUUAACAUAUCCUACUUUCAGUUUCAACCCAAUUUUAUGGAGAAUUAUAGGUUUGAAGGGCGUCAAAGGUUAGAAAUCAGUACCAAAAACUGUUGAAUAUUCAUCUUUGUUCAAUGAUUGAUGUUCAGAACAUUUAAUUGACCAUGUGUUUCAUUUGUUUAAAGUAAUUUCCUUAUUCAUCAAUGUUAUGCUGUUGCUUUCAAAUUUCUCGAUGUAGGAGGAAUUGAAGAUGUUCUAAUGAGAGCGUACAUCUUGCUUUUGAUUUAAUGUCUCUAGGAAAGAAGGACAACAUUAUAGGAUAAUAAUAUUCUGAUGGUGCAGAUUGUUUUGGAAAGAAUAGCAAAAAAUACUCAUGGCUAUGUUGGUGCUGACCUUGCUGCUCUGCACUGAAGCUGCACUCCAGUGCCUAAGAGAGAUUAUUAUUAUUAUUUUGAUAGGUAAAAAGGAUAUUAUUGAUUUGGAAGACGAUUCUAUUCACGGUGAGAUACUAACUCCAUGAUUGUUACCAAUAAGCACUUCUAGACUACUCUAGGAAAAAGCAACCUAUCCGCUUUAUGGGAGACCGUAAGUGGAUUUUGACUGCUAUAUAUUUUGCUUGAUAUUUGUUUAUAUAUGUUUGUUGUCAUUUUUUUUUUUAAUGACGAGGGAACCCGCAGCCGUUACCCUUCGAGUGCGCACUAGAUAAACCCUCGAGCUGACGCAAUAGCCUGCAAAUCAUGCCAAUCAGGUAAACCGCACAGGCAAGCCUGGUGCGACAACAUGUUUGUUGUCAAUUUUGAUAUGAGAUUAUUACGUGAAAUAGCAGGUUGCCCGAUAUUUGCCUACUUAUGUUUGUUGUCAAUUUAAUAUUCCAAAUGUAUGAAUCACUUCAUUGCUUAGUUAAGUGAUUCAUUAAUAAAAUAACAUUUAACUAAUUUGAUCUUAUAAAGUAGAAAUCAUCCUUUAAAUUGAGUUUCUCACAAUUAUAUCCCGUAUAAUAAAAGUAUAUAAACAUUGACAAUUGUCUGCUUAUUUUGUGACAAAGAACUAUAUUACUAUGAUGUUUACACCUGUACAUUUAAUAAAAUUGGAUACAAAAUAUUAUAAACUUUAACAGUAUAUAACUAACUUCAAUAAAUAGAUAGUCGUAACGAAAAGUUAAAUACAAUGAAUACCAAAUGUUUGUAUCAAGAAUCAAGUAUAAAAAGAAAAGAGAUAAAAAGUAAGUCAAUUUCAACCAAUUUAUGAUUAUAUUUCAUGUUUAUAAAUGAAUUUCUCUCAAAUUUAAUACACUUAAUUUUAAAAUUAAUCAAACAACGUGCAACGUAUGUUCACCUCACUAGUUUUAAAGAAAAAGAUGUAUCACUAGUUUUAUAGAAAAAGAUGUACUAAUGUAUAUAAAAAUGAAAAAGUUUGUGUACAGAACCACACUUUUACCACCCUCUCACAGAACAUGGGGCCACUAUUAUUUUAAUCGCAGACCCCACCCCUAAUGUGAGAGGGUUGUUAUAGUUGCCAUCAAAGUAAUUGUACCUAGUAUGUCUCUAUUUAUAGAGCUUGCCUCCCGUUACUUCUCUCUCCACAGUCGCGAAAUUGCAUACUUUUUCACAUUUUCUCUCUCUGCAUUUGCUGGGACCUUUGGGAAACUGCGAACACCACUUUGUGGUAUCUAUAAUCAAACCUUCAAGAGGCAGCAAUCCAUUUCAAAACCCAAUUUUAAAUUUUCAUUCUCCAAUAUUUUUCAUUUUGUCUUCUGAUAUUUUUGCCAUAGGCGUUGUUUGUCUGUUGAACCCUCACAUAUAUUCUAUUAAGUCAUGUUAGCCUAAGGGUAUUUAAGUCUUUGUACAGCAUUUUUUUAUUAUAGAUCGGUUUGCUGCUAGUUGCAUCUUUGUAUAUAUAUAUACACUUGUACAGUUCAAAGUCAUGCAAUGUGAAUUGAGAUUUCUUUCCCGCCAUAUUCUCUUACCCUUUCAAUUCUAGAAUACUCUACAGCUAACUUCUCAUGGUAUCAGAGCAUUGAUGCUUCUCUGCAAUGGCAAGUGAAUCAAGUGCUCAAUCAAAGAUCAAAAAUCAGUCCAAUUAAACGAAUUCAUCGAUCAGAUUGUCUGCUGAUGAAGUGGUAACUGGAGAUAUGGCUGCUCUCGUUGAUUGAUUGAUAAGUGAUUCAAGCAGUCCGUAUUAUUUGCAUCAUGGCGAUAAUACAGAAAUGCAACUCACCAAUGUCAUGCUCACCGAGGAAAAUUACGCAACGUGGAGCCCUGCUGUUAUUAUGGCGCUCAGCGUCAA